Molecule: ribosomal RNA, 262 nt
Filed under: uncultured bacterium
Lineage: Bacteria
Description: partial 16S ribosomal RNA
Rfam family: Bacterial small subunit ribosomal RNA
Source: RNAcentral
UCGCUGUGUGUUACAAGUGUCACACGGGACUGCCGGUCUUAAGCCGGAGGAAGGUGGGGAUGACGUCAAGUCAGCAUGGCCUUUAUGCCUUGGGCUACACACACGCUACAAUGGGUAACACAAUAGGUUGCGAAGCGCGAGGUGGAGCCAAUCCUGAAAGUUGCCCUCAGUUCAGAUCGUAGGCUGCAACUCGCCUGCUUGAAGACGGAGUUGCUAGUAACCGCAGUCAAGCUAUACUGCGGUGAAUACGUUCCCGGGCCUU